UACGUAGGUGGCAAGCGUUGUCCGGAAUUACUGGGUGUAAAGCGCGUGUAGGCGGGAGGCCAAGUCUGCUGUGAAAUCGCCCGGCUCAACUGGGCGGGGUCGGUGGAAACUGGUCACCUGGAGGACGGUAGAGGCGAGUGGAAUUCCCGGUGUAGUGGUGAAAUGCGUAGAGAUCGGGAGGAACACCGGUGGCGAAGGCGGCUCACUGGCUCGAUUACUGACGCUCAGGCGCGAUAGCGUGGGGAUCAAACAGG
Molecule: ribosomal RNA, 254 nt
Filed under: uncultured bacterium
Lineage: Bacteria
Description: partial 16S ribosomal RNA
Rfam family: Bacterial small subunit ribosomal RNA
Source: RNAcentral